Molecule: ribosomal RNA, 370 nt
Filed under: uncultured organism
Description: bacterial SSU rRNA
Rfam family: Bacterial small subunit ribosomal RNA
Source: RNAcentral
CAGAGGUCCCGAGCGUUGUUCGGAUUCACUGGGCGUAAAGGGUGCGUAGGCGGUCGGGUAAGUCUGAUGUGAAAUCUCACAGCUUAACUGUGAAACUGCAUUGGAUACUAUUCGGCUUGAGAGUUGGAGGGGGACUGGAAUUCUUGGUGUAGCAGUGAAAUGCGUAGAUAUCAAAAGGAACACCAGUGGCGAAGGCGAGUCCCUGGACAACUUCUGACGCUGAGGCACGAAAGCUAGGGGAGCAAACAGGAUUAGAUACCCUGGUAGUCCUAGCCGUAAACGGUGCUUAUUGCUGUAAAAGGAAUCGACCCCUUUUGUGGCGUAGCAAACGCGUUAAAUAAGCCGCCUGGGAAGUACGGUCGCAAGAUUA